UCCUUGACAUUUAGAAAUAUC
This 21-nucleotide non-coding RNA is filed under the name Caenorhabditis elegans. The record is from RNAcentral. Lineage: Eukaryota; Metazoa; Nematoda; Chromadorea; Rhabditida; Rhabditidae.